AGAGUUUGAUCCUGGCUCAGCCUGAACGCUGGCGGCGUGGCUAAGACAUGCAAGUCGUACGGUGUAGCAAUACACAGUGGCGAACGGGAGAGUAAUGAAUCGCUAACGUACCCCGGACUCUGGGAUAGCUGCCCGAAAGGGCAGGUAAUACCAGAUGAUAUAUUCCCUUGGCAUCUUGGGAAUCUCAAAGGUCCGCCGGUCUGGGAGCGGGCGAUUUCGUAUCAGCUAGUUGGUGAGGUAACGGCUCACCAAGGCGACGACGCGUAGCCGGACUGAGAGGUUGGCCGGCCUCAUUGGGACUGAGACACUGCCCAGACUCCUACGGGGGGCUGCAGUAACGAAUCUUCCGCAAUGCACGAAAGUGUGACGGAGCGACGCCGCGUGUGGGAUGAAGUCCUUCGGGAUGUAAACCACUGUCAGGGGUUAGAAAGUUCUGAUCAACCCCAGAGGAAGAGGCGGCUAACUCUGUGCCAGCAGCCGCGGUAAUACAGAGGCCUCGAGCGUUAGGCGGAAUCACUGGGCUUAAAGCGUGUGUAGGCGGAUUGCUAAGUACCUUGUGAAAUCCCACGGCUUAACCGUGGAACUGCUUGGUAUACUGGCUGUCUUGAGCCACUUAGGGGCGACCGGAACAAACGGUGGAGCGGUGAAAUGCGUAGAUAUCGUUUGGAACGCCAAAGGUGAAAACAGGUCGCUGGGAGUGUGCUGACGCUGAGACACGAAAGCCAGGGGAGCAAACGGGAUUAGAUACCCCGGUAGUCCUGGCCGUAAACGAUGUCCACUAGAUCGUAGUCGCUCUGACG
RNAcentral lists this ribosomal RNA (800 nucleotides) under uncultured bacterium. RNAcentral describes it as "bacterial SSU rRNA". It matches the Rfam family "Bacterial small subunit ribosomal RNA", at positions 8 to 836 of the family's 1533-position model. The record is from RNAcentral.